This 290-nucleotide ribosomal RNA is filed under the name uncultured bacterium. Its description in RNAcentral is "partial 16S ribosomal RNA". It matches the Rfam family "Bacterial small subunit ribosomal RNA", at positions 29 to 319 of the family's 1533-position model. The record is from RNAcentral.
AAUGAACGCUGGCGGCGUGCCUAACACAUGCAAGUCGAAUGUGCCGCAAGGUGCAUGGCAGACGGGUGAGUAACGCGUGGGCAAUCUACCUUUUCGUGGGGAAUAACGAUCCGAAAGGAUUGGUAAUACCGCAUGAGACCAAUGGCUGGGAUGCUGUUGGUGAAACCUGGGGACCGCAAGGCCUGGGGCGAGAAGAGGAGCCUGCGUCUGAUUAGCUAGNGGCGGGGUACGGCCCACCAAGGCUUCGAUCAGUAGCCGGCCUGAGAGGGUGGAUCGGCCGACACUGGAAC